Long non-coding RNA from Myotis davidii, 1404 nucleotides. RefSeq lists it as uncharacterized. NCBI's taxonomy places the organism in Eukaryota, Metazoa, Chordata, Mammalia, Chiroptera, Vespertilionidae. The transcript is spliced from 3 exons. The record is from RefSeq and is a predicted model, not a curated record.
GAUGAGGCUCAACCACUGAGCCACACCAGCCAGGCCAGGGAGCUCCUUAGAGCAAUGAAAAGAGCAGGAGAAACCAUUGUGCGUGCAACAUUUUAGAAGAUGAUACAGACAAAUGCACAGGACAAAAAGGGAAAUGAUCAAGCUGUCUCAAACAGGAAUGGAAAACCUGUGGCAGGAAGGACACGGGGCCGCAAUCCUACCCACAGAAAAUGCAGUCCAGUGGAUGAAGGCCAGGCCAGGCUGUCUGAGCCUCACGGAGCACACGGCCCCUCCCCUCGCGGAUACCAGCUGCUCUGAAGAAUCUGGGACAAUGGCAGCAGGACGGGCUCCCCACCCCACUUCACAAGGACAGCAGAACUUUGAUGUCAAACACAGGCCAGAGCAGCACCUACAAGGGGAAUGAGGACACAGAUGCGCCAGGCCGAGAUCAGGAUGAGCGAGCCCAAUCCAGCGAUCUAUAUAUAAACACUUCACCCCGAGCGGCGUCUCACUCGGGGACAGGAAACCGCUCAGCGCUGACACAUCCGCGACAGGGACCCGCCACACUAACAGGCCGCCAGGGAGCCCUGGCUGGUGGCUCGGUGGCUGGAGCAUCAUCCUGUUCACCAGAAGGAAGGAGCCAUCUCCCACCCCCGGAGGUGCAGCCAUGGGACGGCGGGGGCUCUCCGGGCCCCCCGUGAGGGGCACCGACCGCGGACUCUGAGAGGCCAACGUGCUUGCCUUCCGGUGCCCUGUGUCCGUUUCCAGACUGAGCCCGUGUGCUUGCUGUAACAUUUCAAAUAUUUAUGGAGGGAGAGGCUAUAAUGAAUAUCCGUGGACCCAUCACCAAGCUCCCAGAAUUACCAACUCUUGGCGAAUUCAGUUUUAUUUUAUCCCCCACCCGCUACCCCACCCCUGCCAUCAGAUUGUAUUACAGCGAGUCCUCGGCGUCGUGGGUAAGUACUUCGGUAGGUAUCUUCGAAAGGGAAGGACUCUUAACAAGCAGAGAAAACCCCCACAGCACUCUCAUCACACUUUAAAGAAAUUAACCUCCAUUCCUUCAAAACAUCCCACAGCCAGUGUGUGUAACCGUCUCCAUAUGUCACAAUUUUUUUCACAGUUUUACUUCCAUCAGGAUCCAGAUAAGUUCCAGACAUUGUCACUGGUUGGGAUGGUUCUUUGGUUUCUUUUACUCUAUCAGUUUUCCUUGCCGAGGGGAGAUUAUUUGUGCUGUAGAGAGUCCCAUGAGCUGAGUCACAGGCAUCUGGUGCCAUUCACCAUGUUCCUCCAUCCCCGAUAUUUCCUAUUCGCUAGUAGUUUGAUCACACAGCUUGGUCAGAUUCAGGUUUGAUGUGUUGGUAAAACUGCUUUCCAUGUAGUCCUUAUCAGUAGUCGCUAAUGCUGGUCUCUCUCUCUCUCUCUCUC